Molecule: ribosomal RNA, 465 nt
Filed under: uncultured bacterium
Lineage: Bacteria
Description: partial 16S ribosomal RNA
Rfam family: Bacterial small subunit ribosomal RNA
Source: RNAcentral
GACGAACGCUGGCGGCGUGCUUAACACAUGCAAGUCGAACGGAAAGGCCCCUUCGGGGGUACUCGAGUGGCGCACGGGUGAGUAACACGUGAGUAACCUGCCCUUGACUUCGGGAUAACUUCAGGAAACUGGGGCUAAUACCGGAUAGGAAUCCUUGCUGCAUGGUGGGGGUUGGAAAGCUUCGGCGGUUUUGGAUGGACUCGCGGCUCAUCAGCUUGUUGGUGGGGUAGUGGCUUACCAAGGCUUUGACGGGUAGCCGGCCUGAGAGGGCGACCGGCCACAUUGGGACUGAGAUACGGCCCAGACUCCUACGGGAGGCAGCAGUGGGGAAUAUUGCACAAUGGGCGGAAGCCUGAUGCAGCAACGCCGCGUGCGGGAGGACGGCCUUCGGGUUGUAAACCGCUUUCAGCAGGGGCGAAGCUUGUGGUGACGGUACCUGCAGAAGAAGCACCGGCUAACUACGUG